GACGAACGCUGGCGGCGUGCUUAACACAUGCAAGUCGAACGGAAAGGCCCUGCUUGCAGGGUACUCGAGUGGCGAACGGGUGAGUAACACGUGGGUGAUCUGCCCUGCACUUCGGGAUAAGCCUGGGAAACUGGGUCUAAUACCGGAUAGGAGCCAUUUUUAGUGUGAUGGUUGGUAAGUUUUUUCGGUGUAGGAUGAGCUCGCGGCCUAUCAGCUUGUUGGUGGGGUAAUGGCCUACCAAGGCGGCGACGGGUAGCCGGCCUGAGAGGGUGGACGGCCACAUUGGGACUGAGAUACGGCCCAGACGCCUACGGGAGGCAGCAGUGGGGAAUAUUGCACAAUGGGCGCAAGCCUGAUGCAGCGACGCCGCGUGGGGGAUGACGGCCUUCGGGUUGUAAACUCCGUUCGCUAGGGACGAAGCUUUUUGUGACGGUACCUAGAUAAGAAGCACCGGCUAACUACGUG
Molecule: ribosomal RNA, 465 nt
Filed under: uncultured bacterium
Lineage: Bacteria
Description: partial 16S ribosomal RNA
Rfam family: Bacterial small subunit ribosomal RNA
Source: RNAcentral